RNA transcript from Brachypodium distachyon (stiff brome), 3672 nucleotides. RefSeq lists it as uncharacterized. The transcript is spliced from 8 exons. The record is from RefSeq and is a predicted model, not a curated record. NCBI's taxonomy places the organism in Eukaryota, Viridiplantae, Streptophyta, Magnoliopsida, Poales, Poaceae.
UCCCCCUUUGCCGCCACGCGCCCCACCUCCUGCUGUUCUUCUCUCCGCCCCCUCGAAGCCCCAGGAGCCGGGCUGGGGAGCGGAGCGGGGAUCUCUUCGUCUCCCACCUUUCCGCGCCGCGCCCACCAUCAUCUCGUUUCCCCGAUCCCCACUCCACCGCGCGCCGACGAGAGCUCACCAGCCAUGGGCGGCGCGGCUUCCUCUUCCUCCGCCGCCGGCAGCACCUCCGCGGAGGCGCACGAGCAGGAGUCCCUGGCCGCCGCCUCCCUCGCGCUCCCUCUCCUCCGCGCCGUCUUCUCCCGCUCCUCGGACCUGCCCUCCAUCCUCUCCCCGCCGCCCGCUGCCUUCCGGCCCGCCUCCUCCCCUCCCGAACCGCCGCCGCGCUUCCACGACCUCCUCGCUCGCCUCGGCCCGGCCAUCGCCUCCCUCUUCUUCGACCACGGCGCCGCCGCCGGGGGGGACUGGCUCGGGUUCCUCAGGGGGUUCAACGCCUGCUGCGCGCGCGCCCGGGCCUCGCUCCCGGUCGCGCAGCUCCUCCGCGUGUACGCCGCGGCCUGCGCCGGCGCGGGGGCCCCCUGCGGCGUGCAGUUCCAGCCGAGCGAGGACGAGGACGACGACGGCGGGAAGGUCGUGGGGGAGCUCGCGCCCGGGGAGAUCGCCGUGCUGCUGUGGAUGUGCUGGGUCAUGGCGUGGAGCGGUUCCUCGGCUCCGAGGGUCUCUUCGGGCGAGGAAGUGGGGAAAGGGGAACCGACAGUGGUGCUCCCGGACGUGACGCACCUGGUGCUGUCGGCGCUCGUGUCCGCCGGCGCCGUCGCGGAUGACGCGGGGGUUUGGGGCUGGGAGGUUUCAGGCGCUGCGAAGGGGGUGAAGGUGCAGGAGUUCACGUCGUGGGUGAUUUCCACAGUCCCCGGGCUUGGCAACUGCCUCUCGCGGUAUGUGCAGGACAGAUUCCGGGCGUGCCAGGUUGAUCCAGUGAAGGAGAGCUCUGUUUCAACUGGCAUCACGACUUCUGAUACUUCUGAUGUGUAUGUAUUAACACGUGGGAGGGCAUGGGCGAUCUCUCUCAGUCUCAGAAACAAAUUGAGUGAGAAGUUUUUGUCAGCAUCUGUCUUUGGAAUGGACCCAGAAGAUCUUCUUUACAGGUCAUCAGUUAAUGGAAAAGGCCUGAGCCGGUUUUGGUCUUGUGUGGAGGGGUACAAGGGACCAGCACUAAUUCUACUCUCAGCAUUCUCAAAUGGUGGUGGUGCAAAUGUUGAUGCUGAUCGAAGAUGGGGAAUUGGUGCAUUAACUGAAGAGGGGUUUGAGAAUAAAGACACUUUCUACGGUAGCUCUGGGUACCUGUGUUCCACAUAUCCAAUAUUCCGCAUGCUCCUGCCAUCUGGUAUGGAGAAGAACAUCAUGUAUUGCCACCUACAUACUCAGAUAAGGACGUAUGAGGCAAAGCCAAAGCCUCUUGGCUUGGCAUUCGGCGGAUCAAUUGGAAAUGAGAGGAUUUUUAUAGACGAUGACUUUUCAAAAGUUACAAUACGCCAUCAUGCUGUUGACAAGACUUACCAGCAUGGUUCUCUCAUUCCCAAUCAGGGUUAUUUACCUGUUGAGGCCUCAAUACUUGAUGUCGAAGUAUGGGGACUUGGUGGACAAAAAACAAAGAGGCAACAGGAUGUGUACAAGAAGAGGGAGGAUAUUUUCUCAGGGCAGCGCAGAAAGAUUGAUCUAGCAGCUUUUGGCAACUGGGAAGACUCUCCAGAGAAAAUGAUGAUGGAUAUGGUCUCUGACCCAAACAAGGUUCAACGGGAAGAGCGUUGAUUUAGUUUGACAGCAAACUCUGCUAGUGCUCAGCAGCUGUCCAUCAGAAGUGGACAUGGAAAUUGACAAGAGGUAUAUAGAGGUUCGUGCAAGUAUUUGCCCAUUUGGUGUCAAGGCAUUUGGCGGGGCCACAUGUAAUUUAGGUUUUGAAUUGAGCAGAGACUUGUACAGUGCACAAUUGCUAUAAUAGCAUCGAGUUUCUUUCUCAUCUUCUCAUUGUCUUAUGGGAAGCAAGAGCAAACCAUUGUAUAUCUGUAUUGUAAAUUAGAUUCAUGUUGCUGCGUGCCUAUCUCAGACUUCUGUUAGAGAACUCCAUGCCUACAUCUCUGAUUCUAUGCAGCUCAGCGGCAGCAUUUCUCAUGUUCAUUCUUUCGGACGGGGUUUCCUUUGAGCACAAGAUGCCGAUUCUUAUAACAGAAGCUAGGCAAGCCAAUACAUUGUCCAACCUUGUUUGAUCUUUAUCAUAUGGCUGCAUCUGUAACAGAGCUGGGUCAAUGAUUUCUGAUAUCUUGUCAGGAUAUGCCAUCUCAGCAAACAAGUGCAGACUCAAGCCUUCUCUGAACAUAUCAUCAGUUGGUGCCCUCCCCGUGAACAUCUCUAGCAGAGUAAUCCCAAAGCUGUAAGCAUCACCAGCAAUCAAUACUUUCCCUCCUGAUCCAUAUUCUGCAAGGAAGAUUGCAUGUCAAUAAUAUCUUAGAAUCAAAAUACAGAAGUGUGCAAAAUCAAGGUGGAUCUGUUUUUAAAGAAAUGAGAAUACUGUAACUACCUGGAGCAACAUAUCCUAUAGUUCCUCUUAUCCCAAAAGAAUUCCUGGAAUUCAAUCUGGAUUGAUCGAUAUGCUCGCCAACCAGCUUUGAAAGCCCAAAGUCAGCAACAUAAGCAGUCCAUUCACUACCAAGGAGGAUGUUGCCAGGCUUCAAAUCACAGUGGAUUACUGGUGGCCGACUAUUAUUGUGAAGAUAGUCUAGCGCAUCUGCAACAUCAAUCACUAUGUUCAACAGGUGGACGGUACUCAACUUGUGCCACUGCUCGUCUGUUCCUGGAUGCAACCAUCUAUCAAGGCUCAAGUUAGGCAUGAACUCGAACACGAGAGCUCGGAAUUCAUUGCCACUGGGGUCAAUGCUAGAACAGCAUGUGAUAAUGUUUAUCAAGUUCCUAUGUUUAGCUCGUCUGAGAGCCAUACAUUCUGCCAAGAAACUUCUGGAAGAACCAGUUUCGUGAAGAGUGAACACUUUAACAGCUACAACACCAUUUUUGACAGAUGGAAGAGACAUGUUUCCUUUAUACACCGAGCCAUAUUUUCCUGCACCUAUCAGAUUGUCAGGUGCAAAGCCAUCUGUAGCUUGAAAUAUUUCAAGGUAUGAAACUCUUGGAUGCCUUUCUGGAAAAAGAACUCCGGAAUAGUUGUCAACCCACACAUGUGGGCUUGAAAUUUUCAUCAUAUGCAUUGUUAUUUUCCGCUUGAAGAGAAGGAGUGCAGACAAUAACAGGCAUAAGCAUAUAGCAAUGCCGGCAACUGGAAGUAGUAUACUAAGCAGCAGUAGGUGUCUCUGUUUAUGUGGCUUUACCUGACAAGGAGGCAAUUUCAGCUCUGGAAUGCCACCACAAAGGCCAUCAUUACCAAUUAUUGAGAACCCACUCAUGUUGGCGAACACGCCGCUUAGAGGCACCUCGCCAUGCAGGUGGUUAAAGGAGAGAUCUAGUUCAUUCAAAGCACUUGAGUUCUGAAAAAGUUGUAAAAUGCCCCCAGACAGGUUAUUUCGUGCCAGAUAUAGCUGUUGCAACCCAUUGAUUUUGGCCAACUCUUGUGGAAUACUGCCAGACAGAGCAUUCCUUGUGAGAUUUAGUUUGCUCAGGCCUCUCAAA